RNAcentral lists this ribosomal RNA (392 nucleotides) under uncultured bacterium. Its description in RNAcentral is "bacterial SSU rRNA". It matches the Rfam family "Bacterial small subunit ribosomal RNA", at positions 28 to 416 of the family's 1533-position model. The record is from RNAcentral.
GACGAACGCUGGCGGCGUGCUUAACACAUGCAAGUCGAGCGGUAAGGCCCUUUCGGGGGUACGACGAGCGGCGAACGGGUGAGUAACACGUGGGUGACCUGCCUUUAGUCUCUGGGAUAAGCCUGGGAAACCGGGUCUAAUACCGGAUAUGACUCCGCGGCGCAUGUUGUGGGGUGGAAAGCCUUGUGCGGCUGGAGAUGGGCCCGCGGCCUAUCAGCUUGUUGGUGGGGUGAUGGCCUACCAAGGCGACGACGGGUAGCCGGCCUGAGAGGGCGACCGGCCACACUGGGACGUGAGACACGGCCCACGACUCCUACGGGAGGGCAGCAGUGGGGAAUAUUGCACAAUGGGCGAAAGCCUGAUGCAGCGACGCCGCGUGAGGGAUGACGGCC